This 29-nucleotide non-coding RNA is filed under the name Homo sapiens (human). Lineage: Eukaryota; Metazoa; Chordata; Mammalia; Primates; Hominidae. The record is from RNAcentral.
UCCUCAAGGUGCUGUGGUGCUUCCUGAUC